UGGGGAAUAUUGCACAAUGGGGGAAACCCUGAUGCAGCAACGCCGCGUGAGUGAUGAAGGCCUUCGGGUUGUAAAGCUCUGUCUUUGGGGACGAUAAUGACGGUACCCAAGGAGGAAGCCACGGCUAACUACGUGCCAGCAGCCGCGGUAAUACGUAGGUGGCAAGCGUUGUCCGGAUUUACUGGGCGUAAAGGGCGCGUAGGUGGAUAUUUAAGUGGGAUGUGAAAUACCUGAGCUUAACUUGGGUGCUGCAUUCCAAACUGGAUAUCUAGAGUGCAGGAGAGGACAGUGGAAUUCCUAGUGUAGCGGUGAAAUGCGUAGAGAUUAGGAAGAACACCAGUGGCGAAGGCGACUUUCUGGACUGUAACUGACACUGAGGCUCGAAAGCGUGGGGAGCAAACA
This 402-nucleotide ribosomal RNA is filed under the name uncultured bacterium. Its description in RNAcentral is "bacterial SSU rRNA". It matches the Rfam family "Bacterial small subunit ribosomal RNA", at positions 355 to 774 of the family's 1533-position model. The record is from RNAcentral.